CUUCCUCAUCACUGCUGCCAUUUCAGUUAUCUGGUCGACAUGUGCUUGUAAUUCCUGGAAUGAAGAGUUGGGAGUUACAAACUAAGAGAGAGGAAGGGAGGGAGAGAAAUAUUGAUCGGCUGGCUCCUGCAUGCCUCUUGCAAGCCCCCCACCAAGGAGCUGCUUAUCAAUCUUAGAGAGAGGGGAAAGGAGGAAGAAAAAGAGUGAGAAAAACAUCAAUGUGAGAGAGAAACAUUGGUCAGGUGCCUUUUCUAUGUGCCCCAACAGGAGGCUGAACCCACAACCCAGAAGCUAUUUGGAUGAUUCAGAAGGCCACAGCUAUGGACAACUGGUGAUUGGCAGCUUCGUUAUGACAAUGUGCGUACUCAUGUACCAUGUCUUAUGUGGUUAUUUUUGAAACAUCAAAUCGCCCCAGUGAUUCAGCUCCCCCUACAGCCCAGAUUUGGCACCCUGAAACUUCUGGCUUUUCCCAAAACUAGAUUCACCUUUGAAAGGCAAGAGAUUUCAGACCAUCAAUAAUAUUCAGGAAAAUACAACAGGGCAGCUGAUAGUGACUGGGAGAACUGUGUGAGGUCCCAAGGUGCUUACUAGGAAGGGGACAGAGGCAUCACUGUCCUAUGCAUAGUGUUUCUUUUCUUUUUUGAAUAAAUUUUAUUGCUGUUCAAGUACAGUUUUCUAUUUCUUCUAUCUUUUUUAUUUUUUUAUAUCUUAUAUCUUGUAUCUUCUUCAGUAAAUGUCUAUUUUUCAUAUCACAUGGCUGGACAGCCUCUGGACAGACCUGGUCUGUUCACUGGUAUGCAUGGGGCAGCUGCAGCGUUAGCGAGGCAUGUAAUCUGUUUAGGGCAACAGAGUUGCAAAACAAACUAAGUAAACUUGUUCCAUUAUUUUCAGUAGCUCUGAUAGAAGUAUUAUCCCAGGUUGCUUUCUUUGACAAAAUGCCUGGUUUCAUAAGAGUGGGCCAUGAAUAUACGCCACCCUUGACUGAUUUCCAUGAUAGUCAUUAGAGAGAGAUUUUACAAUUCUCUUAGAGUUGAAAUUGUUUUUUUAUCAGAAGAGGGCUUAAAUUUUAGCUAAACGCCACAGCCCUCUGGGAAGUCCUUAUAUACUACACCAAGGAGAACAAGGAAUAAAGCCCUUUUCACUUUUUUAAAGUGGCAGCAUUAAAUGUAAAAUAAGGUAGCGAGUACAAAUGCAGUAACUGCACAAACUGGAAACUAGUUAUUGCCCUGUGUUAUUUUUAAAAAUUUAUUGUUAAAUAACUUCACUUAAGUACCUUUAUACAGAAUAUAAACAUUUCUACAUUAU
Artibeus jamaicensis (Jamaican fruit-eating bat) is the source of this 1305-nucleotide long non-coding RNA. RefSeq lists it as uncharacterized. The transcript has 4 exons. The record is from RefSeq and is a predicted model, not a curated record. NCBI's taxonomy places the organism in Eukaryota, Metazoa, Chordata, Mammalia, Chiroptera, Phyllostomidae.